Molecule: ribosomal RNA, 253 nt
Filed under: uncultured bacterium
Lineage: Bacteria
Description: partial 16S ribosomal RNA
Rfam family: Bacterial small subunit ribosomal RNA
Source: RNAcentral
UACAGAGGGGGCAAGCGUUGUUCGGAAUUACUGGGCGUAAAGGGUUCGUAGGUGGCUUGCUCAGUCAGACGUGAAAUCCCUCAGCUUAACUGGGGAACUGCGUCUGAUACUGGCGAGCUUGAGUGCAGGAGAGGAACGCGGAAUUCCAGGUGUAGCGGUGAAAUGCGUAGAUAUCUGGAGGAACACCGGUGGCGAAGGCGGCGUUCUGGACUGCAACUGACACUGAGGAACGAAAGCCAGGGGAGCAAACGGG